CCCUUAGAUGUUCUGGGCUGCACGCGCGCUACACUGAAGCGUUCAACGAGUAUUCACCUUGCCCGGGAGGGUUGGGUAAUCUUUUGAAAACGCUUCGUGAUGGGGAUAGAUUAUUGCAAUUAUUCAUCUUCAACGAGGAAUUCCUAGUAAACGCAAGUCAUCAGCUUGCAUUGAUUACGUCCCUGCCCUUUGUACACACCGCCCGUCGCACCUACCGAUUGAAUGGUCCGGUGAAAUCUUCGGAUCUGAGAGAUGUCUGAUUAAUUUCGGACGCCUUUUGGAAAAGUUGUUUAAACCUUACCAUUUAGAGGAAGGUGAAGUCGUAACA
This 328-nucleotide ribosomal RNA is filed under the name uncultured eukaryote. RNAcentral's name for it is "partial 18S ribosomal RNA". It matches the Rfam family "Eukaryotic small subunit ribosomal RNA", at positions 1470 to 1796 of the family's 1831-position model. The record is from RNAcentral.